UUUUUUUUUUUAAGUGAAGAUGCAGCCACACCACAAGUUCAAAUUGCCCAGGACUCAUUCUAAGGAUCAAAACAGUCUGAGGCUUCCCUGUGAAAGUGCCCCCAGCAGAUGAGGGACAGGUUUCUAGAGGCCAAGUUCCUGAGCAAAGUUUUAAAAUGUAGGCACAUGAAAAUAAGUUGUCAUUAACCCUGUGCUAUGAUAAAAUGACAACAACAAAAACUGACGAACCAAAGGAAAAAAAAAAAUACUUAUAGUAACCGAGAUCCUAAGUGAUUCUGUUUUCAUAGGAAUCUUGAUUUAAAUAUUUCUCUUAAUUUUUGUAAGAAAUUUUUUUUCUUUCAUAGUUGUUUUAAUGUCUAAGUGAAAAAAAAGUGCUUGAUUUAUUACUGAGAUAUAUCUAGUCCUUUUCUGAAAAGAAAGAGACCUCUCAAUGAGUAUUUAUUAUUAAGAAAUCACUGGGACAAGAUUUUGGAGUUAAAAGCAUCUAUUUUGAGGUUUUUCUUUACUAAUUUAACCUGAUUUUACCCAUGCAAACAGCUAACUCAAAGAGGGUCGUGUUACUCUGUCUUCAUUUUCAGCCAAAAGAUGGUGUAGACAAACUCAGGCAAACUAUUAUGAAUAUUGUCAUCCCUACUGUGAAUAUGAUUCAUAUACAUAGGACAGUAGGGCCAUUUUUUAAGGAACCACCAGCCUCCUUCCACUUUAAAGCAAUGCUGUUUUCCAAAAGUAAUACAAGUAGAUGAUUAUGCCCCCAGUGACCAUGCAUGGAGUGUUAGGGUGCUCAGGUGAGCUUGGGAAACUCCUUCUAGGGGUUGCAGGUGGGAAGGGACUGACUGUAAGGGUGUGGGGCCCAUUCUUCCAGCUGAGAAAACAGCUUUGGUGACAAUGCCACCAAGAAUUGACGAUGUCACUAUGAGUCCCCAAAAUGCAGAUGGGGCUGUUCACAGAGGGGAGUAGAGGCAGGUCUCCAACACACCAGAGCACACCUCACCCACCGUGAGGGGGUCCAGGGUUUAGCAAGACAUCUUAUUCCUGAAACGAGGUAGUCUCAAUUUAAAGAAAAUGCUCCCCAGGGUUCUGUGAUGAGUUUGAUGAUUUUAAUUGAAAAAAUUGUUUCAAUCCAAAUCUGCCAUAAACAAAAACUGGGGGGCAUAAAUUUAAACAUGUUAUUUUUUGUUGAAAUAUAAGUGAUUUACAAUACUGUAUUAGGGUCAGGUUUAUAACAUAGUGAAUUAGUAUUUUUAUAGAUUAUAUUCCAUGAAAAGUUACUACAAGAUAAUGGUUGUAAUUUUGCUAUGCAAUAUAUGCUUGCAGCUUAUCUGUUUUAUGUUUUAUUCUUUUAUUUUAUACUUCUUAAUUUCAUUCCCCUAAUUUGCCUCUCCCCCUUUCCACUCGCUGCUGGUAACCACUACAUGUUUUCUGGAUCUAAGUCUAUUUAUGUUUAAAUAGACUUUUGUUUAUACUUUUGUUUAUAUGAUUUUUUUAGAUUCCACCUAUAAGUGAUAUGUAGAAUUUGUCAUUCUCUGACUGACUUAUUUCACUAAGCAUAAUAUUCUCUAAGUCCAUCCAUGUUGCUGCAAAUGGUAGAAUUUCCUUAUGGCUGAGCAAUAUUCCAUUAUCCAUAUUCCUCUGUUGAGGAACACUUAUGUUGCUUCCAUGUCUUGGCUAUUGCAAAUAGUGCUGCUGUGAACAUUGGGGUGCAUUGAUCUUUUCGAAUUAGUGUUUUUGUUUUAUAUGUGGCUAUAUACCCAGGAGUAGAAUUGCUGAAUCAUGGUAACUUUAUUUUUAAAUAUUGGAGGAAUCCCCAUACUGUUUUCCAUAGUGGCUACACCAAUUUACAUUCCUGCCAACAGUGCAGGAGGGUUCCCUUUUCUUCAUGUCUUCUCCCAGUAUUUGUUAUUUGUAGACUUUUUUUUUCAGUCUUUCUGUCUUUUCUAGGGCUGCACCUGUAGCAUAUGGAGGUUCCCAGGAUAGGGGUCUAAUUGGAGCUGUAGUUGCUGUCCUAUGCCACAGCCACAGCACCAUGGGAUCUGAGCCAAGUCUGUGACCUACACCACAGCUCGCAGCAAUGCUGGAUCUUUAACCCACUGAGCGAGGCCAAGGAUUGAACCUGCAACCCCAUGGUUCCUAGUCGGAUUCAUUAACCACUGAGCCAUGACAGGAACUCCUAUUUGUAGACUUUUUAACCAGUUAAUAUUUUUUAUUUAGGAAUUUAUGAUACCUGAGAAAAUCCAGAUUUUAGAACCAUUAAUAUCGAUUAUUACCUCACCCUGUUAGCAAGAGUGAUGGGGGCCAGGGAAAAGUUUUUUUUUUUUUUUUUUUUUUUUUUUUUUCUUAGCUGUUUAUGCUCUAUAGGAGAAUAUUAUGACAAAUUUGACAAAAUGUGUUAGGACUUUGUAUACAUUUCACCUAGGAACUCAAAAUGUGCUUGCUGCUAAUUUGUCUUAUAUCCUCAUCAGUAUGGUGACUGUGGACCAAAGUGUUUAUGUGGCAUAUUGCCUUAGUUUUUAUGAAACUGCAAUUACAGUGUGAAUCAUAGCUUUGAUCAGAGAAGUGAGAAGGAUGCUAUGUGGUUGUCCCAAACAGCUCACAUUCACCAGGGCUAACUGCUUGGAAGCUCUUUGGCCUGUAGGAUGUAUGCAUUAUCUUCUUCACUUAAUCCUCUCCAUUUUAUAAAUGACAAGAUGGAACUCCUUUAGAGAAAUUAUGUGAGGUGGGCACAUCCCUUAACUGGGGACUGCAAACCGUUUUUAGAUUCUAAGAUUAGAUUUGUAAGCACAUUGAGUUUUGGAAAUUACCGUUUUUAGAUUCUAAGUUUAGAUUUGUAAGCACACUGAGUUUUGUAAAUCAUACACUCACCUAAACUCUUCACCAGAUUAUCUCCAAUUAUCUGAGAUGUUCUAACCCAUCCUUAGAGCCACUUGAUCCCAUUUUCAGAUGUCCCAGUUCUUCCUUUGAUGUGGGAGGGAUUGUCCUUGAUAGCUGUAAGAUGGGUGCUCAGUCUUGUCUGCCCACUGCUUUCCCAGAGGCUUAGAAUUUAUAUUAGCGUGAUCGUGCACCAAAGGACCAUACUAUUUCCCCAACCCUGAUAUCUGUAAGUAUAUAGAUCUCUGUGCCAAUUGCAAAUAAAGCCCCUCAGGAGGAAAGGCAAGGGGCCACAUGCAGACCAAGGAAUACCAACCGAGUGUAUCCUGUUUUGAAUGUGGUGCUGUGUUCCUGACGAGGCCUCUCUGGUAACAUAUGGUGGUGUUGUCAAAUUGUACUAUUUACAGCCAUGGGGCUGGGCUUGUAGGACUCAUGGGGGAAAAAAAAUUAAAAGAACAAAAACAAUAUCCAUUAACCUCUUUGCUCUGAGUCAUUAUCACCAAUCAGUCUGGAGUUUGUUCUCAUUUUGCUUUGUGUUUUGGCCACCAGGUAAAUUCCCCAGUGACACAGAUGGCUUGUUGGAUGGAGCUCACCACUGAGCCUCUGGCCUGUCAGGCGGUUCAGCUGGUUGUCAGGAUAAAAGGACGACAGGGCUGGCUGCCUCUGUCUCCUGUGAGCUUCUCAAGUGACAAAUGCUAGUGCUUCAGAAACAAACAAACAAAAAGAGUAAGAGGAAAAAUGCCUGUGAGCGAGUGGAGGGCAGUUAUGUUCUUCAUCUCACCUGCAUCUGAGAGCUUAGAUGUCACAGGAAUCAUUAGAACGCCUCAUAGGAGAACACAGGAACAGGCUGCUCUGUUUUAUUAUUUUCUUUUCUUUAUUAAAGUAUACUCGAUUUACAGUGUUGUGUUAGUUGGCAGGCUGAUUAGCUCGGUUAGAGUGUGUGCUAAUAAAAUGUUGUGUUAGUUUCAGUGUACUGCAAAGUGAUUCAUAUAUAUAAAUUCUUUUUCAGAUUAUUAUCCAUUAUAGGUUAUUGGAAAAUAUUGAGUAAAUUUCCCUGUGCUAUGUAGUAGGUCUUUGUUGAUUAUCCAUUUUAUAUGUUGUAGUUUUUAUCUGCUAAUUCAAACUCCUAAUUUAUUCCUCCCCUCUUCCACUUUGGUAACCUUAAGUUUGUUUUCUAUGUUUGUGGUCUAUUUCUGUUUUGUAUAUAAGUUCAUUUGUAUCCUGUUUUAGAUUCUACAUGUGUAAUAUUUGUCUUUCUCUGAUUUACUUCACUCAGUAUGAUAAGCUAUAGGUUAUCCUAGUUUCCACAAAUGACAUCAUUUCAUUCUUUUUUAUGGCUAAGUAAUAUUCCAUUGUAUAAAUGUACCACAUCUUCUUUGUCCAUUCAACUGCCUAUAGAAAUUUAGGCUAUUUCCAUGUCAUGGCUAUUGUGAUUAGUGUUGCUGUGAAUGUUGGGGUGCGUGUAUCUUUUCAAAUUAGAGCUUCCUCCUGUUAUAUGCCCAGGAGUGGGAUUGAUGGAUCAUUUGAUAGUUGUUUUUAGUUUUUUAAGGAACCUCCCUCCUGUUCUCCAUAGUGACUGCACUAUUUAUUCAUCAGAAUACAGAAACAUAGACCAUCAUCUCAACACGCAGCUCAGUAGAAAGUCAGGACAGAACUGUACAGGAGGAGCACACAGGGAGAUGUGGACUUAGAAGUAGCAUCUAAGGAAGAUUGCAUGGGUUUAAGGCUCAGGAAAUGGCAGGUGUUCACCCACCAGGCAGAGACAUGGGUCAUGGUCUUAGAGCAAGACCAGCUUCCAUGAAAGUUUGGAGAAAAGUGCAGGGUGAGGUGGUUUGGGACCUCAUUGGCUGAGCACAGUCUGUGGGUUCAUCACAUGGUCCCUGUGCCUGGCUGCUCCUACCCAUGCAGACAGUCCUGGGGACCAUACUGUUCAUUCCUGACCUCAAGCCUGAGCUUGGCUCUUGCCUUGGCCUUGUGUCUUUUCUAUGUAUCCUUCCUGGUCUUGUUGCAGGACACCUCCUGCCUCUUAGUACCAGGGAGAGGAGUCCUUCUUUGUAUCAACCUCCUGCAGUACUCCCAUCAGGAUUAACCACUGAUAUGUCUAUUUCUCUGAGUGAUGCUGAAUGGUGACUGGGUGCCAGAUGUGCUCAGACAUGGGGUCCUGACAAAAAUGAUCCAUAGGAGAAGUUUGUGUUGGACUCCACCCUUAACUCCCCCUUGCUACUUAGAGUCUGUUGUCCUGGAAUGUCCCCCUAAUUCUUCCCCAUGACCCUCAAUAUGUCCAUCUCAGCAGCUUAAGACAUUUAGGUUGACAUGGUUCCUGCAGAUAAUCUUGUAAAGGGCUUCUACUGCCAAUUCUUCAGGAACAGGUCCUUAGCACAAAAUAAUUAGCCAGCAUGUCCAAACUGAUGAAAUGUCAGAAAAUUUUGAAGGGGUUCUCAUAUCAGCUACUCUUUAUGAGUUUCAACAGUGUUCUUAUAAAAAGAAGUGUCUUAAUCACCACAAAGCUCUGAUGGUAGAAAUGUUAAGUGAGGAAGAAAUAAGAGGCUUUUAAAAAGUUCAUAUUCAAGUCAGGGCUCCUGGCUAGUUGGCAGCUCCAUCCACACACAGGGCAGCUUCCCUUUCACAACAGUGUUAAACUCAGAAAGCAAAAGCAAAAACCCAACUGGAACAAUGAUAUGUUUUCCAUAUGAAUGUUGCUGCUUCUUUUAUUGAAAUGCAUGUCAUUGUUCUUGAGGCUGGAAGGCUGAAGAUGAGUGAUGGCAUUUUCCAACUGUGCAGUCAAGCGCCGACCGCAGAACAAUGCGCUUUAAUAAACCUAGUGCAACGUAUCCGGAGGGCUUUGAUCAGCAGGUGCGUCUGGGCAUCACACUACUUCUCUUUCCUUCCUGUUUCCUUCUUUCUGAUGAAUAACCAAAUUAGACUGGAUGGCAGAAAACUUCUUGCAACAGAGUUCGUGUGAACUUCAGUAUCCUGAUUUUACUUUCACCUUCAUCUGAGAAUUUGCCUCCAAAGAAAAAAAAUAAAAUAAAACGAAGGAAUAAAAGGACGUCUGUCUCUUAGAUUGCAAAGCACCUGAUGUUCAGGUUAGUCUCAG
This 5962-nucleotide long non-coding RNA is filed under the name Sus scrofa (pig). Its description in RNAcentral is "lncRNA (ENSSSCG00035011935.1)". The record is from RNAcentral. Lineage: Eukaryota; Metazoa; Chordata; Mammalia; Artiodactyla; Suidae.